GAGAAUUAAGGAAUGAGGAAAAUCUGGUGAUGCUGCCCUAAGGUCUUUCUAUAAGAAGAUCAUUUUUUUCAUUCUAGGGAGAUUUUAGGACACCUAAAAAGAGAAACGGCUGAGAUAUUGAUAAGCUGCAGAAUCCUUUCUUCAAAAAGUUUAAUUCUCAUGAUGAACACACACAAUUCAUAGAAAGAAAGACAUCAAUUUCUUCUUUUUUGGUUUUCAUUCGAAGGGUGAAGUACUGUUCUUUAGAUUUCUGGGUUAAGAAGCUGAAGCUUACUUUGAAUCAUUCUUGGUGCUUCUAUUUUGGCUGCUGCAUCUGCUCAUUUUUCGGAAAUUUACUUCUAUUUUGGUUGAUUUUGUUACAAACAGUUCUUGUUAUGCUGGUUCUAAUGACAUGACAUGCAUGUGGAGUUUUUAGCUAGAUCUUGAAAGCCAAUCUAAUCUUGGAAUAAUGAAACAUAGUUUUGAAUAUGAUAAAAGAUGCGUUUGAGGAAACAAAUAAAGAUUCACGCAUUUUGAGAUAACACAAAGCUGGAAUUGAGUGAAACUGAGGCAGUUAGUCUGGGCAAUCAAGAGGUUGAUAAGAGCAUACAACAGAGAAAUAUCUCCCAAACAGUUUGAGGUAGAUCAGUCAGUGUUAAAAUGCAUUCUUCCACGUCAAGCUGAGGCUAAAGGCAAGUUUUCCCCAAACUGGCAGGGGUCGUUCAUUGUAACGGGAGUGUUGCCCCAAUGGUGAUUUUUGUUUAAUAGAUAUAGAAGACAAAUGUGUAGAAAUAACUGUCAAUUCUGAUGCAGUCAAGAGAUAUUGUUAUGAUUU
Long non-coding RNA from Nicotiana tabacum (common tobacco), 814 nucleotides. RefSeq lists it as uncharacterized. NCBI's taxonomy places the organism in Eukaryota, Viridiplantae, Streptophyta, Magnoliopsida, Solanales, Solanaceae. The record is from RefSeq and is a predicted model, not a curated record.